Molecule: transfer RNA, 67 nt
Filed under: marine eukaryotic metagenome
Rfam family: tRNA
About the family: Transfer RNA (tRNA) molecules are approximately 80 nucleotides in length. Their secondary structure includes four short double-helical elements and three loops (D, anti-codon, and T loops).
Source: RNAcentral
GAGUGUAGCUCAGGGGUAGAGCAUCACCUUGCCAAGGUGGGGGUCGAGGGUUCGAAUCCCUUCACUC